RNA transcript from Chelonia mydas (Green sea turtle), 6640 nucleotides. It is a transcript of the gene named ecotropic viral integration site 2B, with no coding region annotated. The record is from RefSeq and is a predicted model, not a curated record. NCBI's taxonomy places the organism in Eukaryota, Metazoa, Chordata, Testudines, Cheloniidae. The transcript has 3 exons.
CAAAUUGGUGCUUUCCUCCCCCCCUAACAUGUCACGGUAGACUUGCAGUGGAAAGGAAGUGUGUCAUCUCUGUGGUUUAGUUUUUUGAGUGAGGAAAUACAACCACAUAUUUUAGUUAGAUUCACUUAAAAAAAAAAUAAAUCACCAUCUUCUAAGUCCAUUUGUUUUAUAUUGCUGGUCGGUUGCAUCCCAAGAAAAAGAUAAAGAAACUGCGUGGUUAAGUAAUAGAAUAAUCUGAAAUUCAACUCUGAAUUUGACCAUACUUCUGGCAAGGUAGCUACUGGAUAUGAACGUGAAAUUGACGAGGCGCUGUAAUUUUGCUUUCAUUGUUGCGAUCAUCUUUUUAUUUUGCUUGCAAAUCAGAGCAAACGACACUGACCGUCCCCGGUUUACAAAUGAGAGCUAUUUGGGUACCAUUCCCCAAAACAUAAGUGAAAACCAGAGUACCACUGAAGCCAGUACAAAUUUUGUUACGCAAAACACAGAUUACAAUGGCGAGUCAACUACUACUUUUGAAACGCAGACAGCCGCCUUUCAAACAACAUUUGGUCAGGAACUGUCAACAUUUUCCCCUAGCUUUCAUCUUACUUCUGCAGUUCAAGACCCUUUGACCACCACCAAGACCCAGAUUACAACAAAAACUGAACAUUGUGAAGAAAAGAAUAAAUCUCUGAUACUAAUUUGUUUUAUUAUAAUAGCAGUGCUUGUUCUUGCUUGCACAUUUCUAUUUCUGUCAACUGUGGUAAUGGCAAACAAGGUAUCGUAUCUCAAAAGAUCUAAAGAAGGAAAGCGCAUGCCCAGAAGUAAUGGUGAUUUUCUGGUUAGUAGCAGUUUAUGGCCAGCUGGAUCAAAUACAUGGCAGAGGAAGUCUAAACAGCUAACAGGGACUGACUUGAUGAUGCAAGACCUGAUAUCAGAGACAGCUAACACAGUUCAAAAGAAAAAUGCAGUUGAAACAACUGAGAAACUCACUAGGGGAAGAGCUAAUGAUCAGAAAAAUGAACAAGCCUCAAAACCAUGUGACAGCAUCGUAACCAAUUUUAUAGUUGAGAUUUAAAUAAAGCUCAGAUUCCUAACAGAGAUGACAUUGCAGCCUUGAAGUAACAUAGUGCCACACAGGAGAACCAGGUUCACAUCCUGGAUUUGGUUUUCCACUGCAUAACAAUGGGAACUCUAGGCAGUAGCACACAGCUCCAUAGGAAGGAGCACCCCAACUCAUGUGCAAUCAACCUUUCAGUCAUUUGAAACAGUACCCUGAAUUGUUUUAAAGGGAGACCUCUCUAUUAGUGCUUUGAAAGAAACUGGUGGGCAAUGGAGCUGAGUGGGGAUAAAGCAACAAAAUAUUUAGGAUAUUAGGGCUGCAAAAGGAACCCCACAAAGGCCAUGGGGAUGGACCAAUAGCUUAGUAGGUAUAGAAUCCGCAGAGUGCUAUUUAUGGGUAUACGAUUACUUUUUUAUUUUAAAUGAAGCUCGUUUCUCUCUGAUGUAAUCAGUGACCCACAAACCAGUAGGUUAGAAGACCACUCUGAUACUGCAAACAGAAUUCUCAAGAGCUCCUCAGCAUAUUUUUGUAGAUCAGAGGUUCUCAAAUUGUGGUCUGUUGAUCACUGAAGGUAUGCGGAGAGCUGGCUGAUCACAUGGUGCUAUCUCCUCCUCGUUGCCAUCUGCUUAAUUAUAUUAAGAAACAGUUAAAAAUAACUAACAUGCAGGCAACUGCUCUAGUUGUUAGAGAGAUGCUGCAUGAUGAAAAAUGGGAGGAGAGGGCCACGAAUGGGGAAGUGUUCCCUCAGACUAACUCUAUACUAAGAUAUGCUCUGGAUUGUGAAGAAGUUUGAGCACCCAUAUAACUAAGUGUUGUGUGAGUCAACCUCUAAAAAACUAGCAUUUUCAGUUACUUGUGCUGGCAUUUGUUUGGUUGCAACUAACUUUAAAGCAAACAUAUUGUACAGUCAAAAUACGAUUUCUGCUCUUGUUCUUUCAAAAACCAUAAUACAAGCCUACCUUGCUUUUGAACUAAUUUAAAGUCAACUGUAUUUGCUGAGCUUUAAGUUUGUGCAAAAAUAUAUAAAUCUUGUUUUAUACGUAACAUGGUUGCAGAAAAACUCUUUCACUUGGUAACCCCAAUAAAAACAUACAAUAGAUUUUGAAACAAUCUGACUCAUUCAUAAUUAUGGUAUAUAAUAGAUUGGGGUUUCUAUUGUAAGGAAACAACUUCUAGAAUAUUAAUUCUCCAGAAUGUUUACUAAGGGAAAAAUUACGUCACUCUGGAGAGUGAAAAAGAAAUGCACUUAAGUAGUUUUUUUGUUGUGGAUUUGCUUGUUUAUAAGAAUGAAGAUGAAAUUUUAUUACUUUCAUCUAGCUUACUUUAUCCAGAAGAUUAAUACAAUGAAACCCGCACUAAGGACCACCUACCAAGAACUACUCUAACAUAAGACCAUUACUAUGAAGUAUCCCUAAAGAUUUCUUUGAGUACCACUUCAACUUUUAGCUCCUCUAAGCUGGUCUUUUGAAUGAAUGUUUGUAACAGGUUUCACUAUACUAAAGAUUCACUACCUGGAGGAAACUGGAGAGACUUCUUAUUUGUGCACAUUAUUUCUAUACCUAAGCACAGAUGAACUGCUUCACAGAUACAUCAGUUAAUUCUUGGGAUCUUGAAAAAAACAAACUAGCAACUUCAACAUUUUCUUUGUUGCUCUGCAGAUUAAGCUAAAACAGUCUACAAUUGUGUCAGCAGGGCACUUCAACUUGUAAAAUGGAAGUUAGUCACUGGGCACAAUAAUGCAACAUUUGUAUAUAUAUCAAGAUACUCAUAAUUUCACUAAUCAUACUUGCAUAUAGAUAUGUGAUAAAACAUUUAAGUCACACUUCUUCAAAAUAUGUACUCCCAACUGAUUAAUAUUUGUAUUGCCACAAGAGAAGAGAUAUUGCUGAGGAAAUUUUUCCUCUUUCCAGAAAUAUGGAUGGACAUAUAGCAAUUAAACAUCUGUAUUGGGACAGGACAUAGAGGCCUCACCCAGGUUAUUUAGCCAUUGUGCUAGGCACUGUAGAAACACAGCAAAUAAUUAUCGCUGCCCCCAGACACCUUGGAAUCAAAAUACCUGUAAUAUUCGGUUAGAGACACUCUAAAGUAGUUAGAAAAAACAUGAGGAUUUCCUGGGUGGCACAGUGAUUCAGGUACAUUAGUAGAUUGCUUACAGGUACGUUAUCGUAUUUUUCCUGUGUGUUUAAAACAAAAUUCUGAGACAAUACGAAGUCUUGCAAAAAUCAUUUAUGAAGCAGUUAUUAAAAGAUGCUUUAGAGGAGCUACCUAAAAAGUUAUUUUCAACAAGGACAAAUUCUCCAGUUCUGAAAAUGAACUGAUAUGCAGGCUUGACCUUUAGUCUAAGAAGCAGCAUAUAACUAGGUCUGUUGAACUCGUUUGGCAAGUGUUAAAAAAACUACACACUGAUGGUAUCUCCUGAAAACUAAUGGUUUGGCCUUUCCAAACUCCCCAUACAUUUCCUAUCUAUAAUGUAUAUCUUUUGAUGCAAGAAAGUGUUGAUUUUUAAAGCUCGGGAAAAUAAAGACAUGUAACCUAUUUAAGCACCGAAUUGAUCCUCCUUCACUGAAAGUGAAUUCCAUCAAGGAACCCAACUUGGAAAGAAUAUAUAUAAACCCUAUUACAUAUAUUAAUAUUUCUACCUUGCUGCCUCUGUUCAGCCAGAAGUGAGGGUCAGGGGCGCAAGCAGGCAACAGCAGACACUGAAGUUUUAUGCACUGGGAUUGGCUGUUGCUCCUCCGGCUAGGAUGGUGGAAGGAGUGGACUGUGGUGCUUCCCUUGGUUUCAGGGAAUUGAAAUAUUCCACUGCUAUUUGUUCCCUGGGUCCCUUGGGGAGCAAAUAUCACUGUAGCUUGUUGCCUUAUCCCCUCUGCUCCCCCAGACCACUUAACUUUCUGUAGGAGUUAAGCAGCAGCAACAGAGAUCAAAGGCCUUAUUCAACUCCCACUGAAGCCAGGGGAAGUCUUUCCACUGGCUUCUAAGGGCAUUGGAUCAUGACAUCAUUGCUGGAUUCCAUUACAGCGCCCCUGGAGAGCAAAGAUGUGGUCCCAGUCCCCUCUACCAGCUACCAGCAGAAAACAUGGAGAGAAGUCACCAAAAGUGUUCAGCUCCAGUUAUAGCAGAACACUGUUUACUGUGAGAGUCUCAUUUAAAAAGUGAUUUUACUGUACGCCAGUUCCUUCAUAUGCAUGUAAGUGUCAUACACUGCACAUUCCUUUUUCAAAAAGCCCCUUGAAUCAGCGAUGUCUAAAUUGCUAUGAAACAAUAUUUAAGUAGCAGUUCCCUCCCUGCUCUGCACAUAAUAUAUAAAAUGCACAGUCAAAACUUAUUUCUAUGAUUUGACUAUUGUACACCCAAAUACAGUACUCUUCUGCACAUUUGCUCCUAAUCCCCUCUAUUUCUGAGAGGCACUCCAACCCCUGUUAAUCUACAAGGAUAUAGUAGCUACUAUCCUGCAUUUUUUGCAGGAUUCAAGCACCUGACAGUGAUCAAAAGGAGCCCUGCGGAUUUCACAGAGCACAACCCCUCCCAUUUACAGUCACACACAGUGUGGCAACUACAAAAGUGGCCUAUUUGGAACAAUAAUAUUAAGCAAGUUUUUAGCUGCCUUUUAUUGCAAUUUAGGAAAUGAAAAUACGGAAGGGAACCAGCACCCUGUGAUCAGCCAGCUCUCCACAAACCACCAUUUGAGAACUUCUGAUCUAAAUCAUCUUCAUUUGAGCCUCUUUGAAUAGUAAUAAUUGUUGCACUUCACCAGAAAAGCACAGAAAGUAGGAAGAAGAUUGUGUUCAGCUCAAUCCACUUCUACUUAAUAUAUAAAAUUACCAUUGCUCAUGUUUUCUCUAUAGACACAGGCAUAUAAACAUCAAUACUACUACGAAUAUCUUAUGCAAAAAUUGCAAACAUGACUAUUUACACUUUUUUUUUUUUUAAACACAACAACAUAUCCCAAAUUUGGUCUUCAAGUAGGCAACUUCUGAACAUUAAUUCUUAGUCAUGUCCCUAAUCUUGACACUUCCUGCAGCAAGUGUUGAUAAACUUCCUCUUUCUAUGCAAAAAAAUUUCAGUGUGAGAACAGUGGACCCUUUUAGAGCUCUUUAAUGUGCAACACGCAUUCUGACUGCUUUAGUUUUGAAACAGCAAAAUGUUAACUUAGUAUGUGAAGACUGUUUACUACAGGAGACAUUGUACAGAAGAUAACCACACACUGCGUGUGGUCAGCAGAAGAGAAGGACACGAACCAUAUAAUCCUAAUUUUCUUCUAUGGACAAUUGUGGAGAUCACUUUCUACAAAGAUACAGAGGCCUCCAACAAACCUAUCGUCAACUGUUUUUCCGACACAAUCAAGAAAUACAUCUAUCAGUCUUGCCAAAAAAUAAAGGAAAUACAGCUCCCAAGUUCCUAUACCAAUCAAAUGAACUUGCUGUCUAACACCAAAUUGAAAAGCCAUCAGCAGCUAUCAUGACACCUCAUACCACUGCAACAGAAGAAAGUGAAUCCAGUGAUGGGAGCUGGAUAGCUGCACUGUUAAUUGGCAUAAUUUUGUCUGGUAUGAUGAUAGUUAUUAUUAUAAUUCUACUGUGGAAAUGCUCAAAAAAGCCAGCUCAGGCUGAUCCAAACUGGGCAGGUCGCUCUCCAUUUGCAGAUGGAGAAAUACCUGAUAUCUUUGUGGAGAGUAUUAAAGAAACGGAGCUGGCUACAAAACGUACAUCAGUUCUCUCUAUCUUGCCAUGGAAAUUUAACAAAAACGGAUCCUUGGAUAAUUCUAAAAGCUCUGAAUCAAAAGAAAGACCUGAGAAGCCACCCAGCUGCAACACAAAGGAGAAGAGCAAUCAAUCUACCCCUACACUAAAGGGAGGCCCAGGCCCAUUAGCCGCCAACAUUUCGGUUUCCUCUUCAAAUAUUAUCAAUGUGCCCCCACCUCCUGUUUCAGAUGGACUGAGUGACGUAUGCGACCCUCCGCUCAACCCAAUCCUUCCCCCACCCGAGUCACUUGAUCUGCCACCUCCACCUGACUGGCUUAACGAAGUCCAGGAGAAUCACUGUCCCGAAAUCAGCAAAUCUCUUGAAUGUCAAUCAGAAGCACAGAGCGAGUUUCCCCCUCCUCCUGACUUAACCCAUCAAGAUGUAAAUUAACCAUUGCUGUCAGCAUGGCCAGACCCUGGAUAAAUUGAAGGAGCCUGCUUUGCAACAUACUUCACACUGUUCUUAAAAGUGUUUUGAAGCAAAUGAUUACAUGAGAAGUUGAGAUAAACAAGAACUAUAUGAAGUUACAGCUUUUAUUAAACAUUAGCUUUUCACAAAUGGGAACCACCUACUGAUCUGCUUGAAACUAAUGACUUCAAUACAGAGUAUGGAUGCUAGCUAAAGAAAAAAACGGGACUAAGUACGUAAAUGGAGGUCUAGUAUUUACAGAUUUUAAAAGCUACAGAAACAAAGGUUUCCAUAUAUAUAGUUUUCAAAAUGCAAUGAGUCCAGCUUUAUAGAAAGACCGCUUCUAACUUGUAUGUUUGUUUUUCCAGGCUGUAUAACUUGAAUUAACAGUCACUUUAGCAGCAUACUUCACAUUUAAUUUUAAUAAAAUGUUUGAAUACAAAGGCA